CCUACGGGAGGCAGCAGUGAGGAAUAUUGGUCAAUGGCCGGAAGGCUGAACCAGCCAAGCCGCGUGAAGGACGAAGGUGCCAAGCAUUGUAAACUUCUUUUGUCAAGGGACAAAAUCAGGCUCGAGAGCCUGACCGAGGGUACUUGAAGAAAAAGCAUCGGCUAACUCGGUGCCAGCAGCCGCGGUAAUACGGAGGAUGCGAGCGUUAUCCGGAUUUAUUGGGUUGAAAGGGUGCGUAGGCGGACUGUUAAGUCAGCGGUAAAAGCCCGGGGCUCAAGCCCGGCGAGCCGUUGAAACUGGCUGUCGUGAGAUGUCGAGAGGUAUGCGGAAUGCGCAGUGUAGCGGUGAAAUGCUUAGAUAUUGCGCAGAACUCCGAGUGCGAAGGCAGCAUACCGGCGGCGAUCUGACGCUGAGGCACGAAAGCGGGGGUAUCGAACAGGAUUAGAUACCCUUGUAGUC
This 459-nucleotide ribosomal RNA is filed under the name uncultured bacterium. RNAcentral describes it as "partial 16S ribosomal RNA". It matches the Rfam family "Bacterial small subunit ribosomal RNA", at positions 338 to 795 of the family's 1533-position model. The record is from RNAcentral.